AGGGACCUCGGGGGGCAGCAGUAGGGAAUCUUCCACAAUGGGCGAAAGCCUGAUGCAGCAACGCCGCGUGAAGGAAGACGGUUUUCGGAUUGUAAACUUCUGUUCUUAGUGAAGAAUGAUGACGGUAACUAAGGAGCAAGCCACGGCUAACUACGUGCCAGCAGCCGCGGUAAUACGUAGGUGGCAAGCGUUGUCCGGAAUUACUGGGUGUAAAGGGAGCGUAGGCGGGAAGCCAAGUCAGCUGUGAAAACUACGGGCUUAACCUGUAGACUGCAGUUGAAACUGGCUUUCUUGAGUGAAGUAGA
Molecule: ribosomal RNA, 305 nt
Filed under: uncultured bacterium
Lineage: Bacteria
Description: bacterial SSU rRNA
Rfam family: Bacterial small subunit ribosomal RNA
Source: RNAcentral